GUUGCUACGGAGUCCACCUGAUUCAGUGGUCAAAGACUGUGUCUCUUUUUCCUCUGUGUUUCAGUUCUUCCGGUGCAGGCUGAGCACCUCUCCAUGUCACAGAGCAUAGAAGAGCCAACUCUCCUGCCUCCCGGGACUGACCUGCCCCAUCUGCAUUGUCUUUACAGACCAGGAACAAGGAAAUACGUGGAGCUGGAGAGUGAACAGGAACUUGAAAACGCACAGAUUCUGUUUCAUCUCUGUAAGUCAGUUUUCUCUUCUGUUCACUCCAACCCCAUCUUUGGGAUUUUCAACAUGAAGACAACUGCUUUCGGCACCCUAAAUGUUUUUCUGGAGCACAAGCAGACACGAUGGAGAAACCUGUAGUGGCUGUAACUGAUUCCAAGGCUCCCCAGGGCUUUUGGAUGGAGCAGGGCACAUACAGGGAUGUAUUUGGAGCAUGGUUUAGGGGCCAAAGUCUGAAGAUCUGUGGUUUCUGUACAUUAGGAAAACAAACUCAAGUAAACCAAAGGCUCACCCUGAGCAGAUGAGAGCCACAAUUCAUAAGAACAUCUGUGUUCACCAGGAGAAGAUGAGCUGUGUGGUGUAGGGCAGGGCUCUGGUUCCUUUGAUGGAGGGUUCUGCUCAUUAUGGAGAUUAUGCUGGCGAGCCAGCCCUUCCUAAUAGACCCAUGAUAGGUCCUUGAUUUGAAGAGUGACUCAGUAGUUUCAAGUUUCUUGUUGCUUUUGGUACUUCACAUUUUUUCUUUCUUGGCAACAGUUCUAACAAGGCAUCCAGUUUUAAAACACUUACAUACCACUGGUACGUUCAUGCCAGGCUUUAUGACAAUGCUCACCACAAAAUGAAAAGAAGGAUAUCCAGCUCGCCCAAUUGGCCUUGUCUCUGAGCUUACUAACCAUUGCAAUAUGCAAAAUGAUCACCUUGCUGCAGUCCAGCCUUGACUUGAGAUGAAGUUUAUUUAUUCAUACACACCUAAGUCAUAUGUUAGAGGACAAUGUGCCAUGGCCAUAUUGAAAGACAGUGUUUCCACACAUUUGUGCCUGUGUGCCUCUGCUUAUCGUAAUGUUCUGCAUGCAAUAGGUAUUCUAGGAAUGUCUUUUUAAAAAAUCCAUGAAGUUGUUUAUAAAAAA
Molecule: long non-coding RNA, 1130 nt
Filed under: Mus spicilegus (steppe mouse)
Lineage: Eukaryota; Metazoa; Chordata; Mammalia; Rodentia; Muridae
Description: lncRNA (ENSMSIG00000030220.1)
Source: RNAcentral